UAGGGAAUCUUCCACAAUGGACGCAAGUCUGAUGGAGCAACGCCGCGUGAGUGAAGAAGGGUUUCGGCUCGUAAAGCUCUGUUGUUAAAGAAGAACGUGGGUAAGAGUAACUGUUUACCCAGUGACGGUAUUUAACCAGAAAGCCACGGCUAACUACGUACCAG
RNAcentral lists this ribosomal RNA (164 nucleotides) under uncultured bacterium. RNAcentral describes it as "partial 16S ribosomal RNA". It matches the Rfam family "Bacterial small subunit ribosomal RNA", at positions 355 to 511 of the family's 1533-position model. The record is from RNAcentral.